UGGGGAAUAUUGGACAAUGGGCGCAAGCCUGAUCCAGCCAUGCCGCGUGAGUGAUGAAGGCCCUAGGUUUGUAAAGCUCUUUCACCGGUGAAGAUAAUGACGGUAACCGGAGAAGAAGCCCCGGCUAACUUCGUGCCAGCAGCCGCGGUAAUACGAAGGGGGCUAGCGUUGUUCGGAUUUACUGGGCGUAAAGCGCACGUAGGCGGACUUUUAAGUCAGGGGUGAAAUCCCGGGGCUCAACCCCGGAACUGCCUUUGAUACUGGAAGUCUUGAGUAUGGUAGAGGUGAGUGGAAUUCCGAGUGUAGAGGUGAAAUUCGGAGAUAUUCGGGGGAACACCAGUGGCGAAGGCGGCUCACUGGACCAUUACUGACGCUGAGGUGCGAAAGCGUGGGGAGCAAACAG
RNAcentral lists this ribosomal RNA (403 nucleotides) under Actinomycetes bacterium. RNAcentral's name for it is "Actinobacteria bacterium partial 16S ribosomal RNA". It matches the Rfam family "Bacterial small subunit ribosomal RNA", at positions 355 to 775 of the family's 1533-position model. Lineage: Bacteria; Bacillati; Actinomycetota; Actinomycetes. The record is from RNAcentral.